Molecule: non-coding RNA, 119 nt
Organism: Lupinus angustifolius (narrow-leaved blue lupine)
Lineage: Eukaryota; Viridiplantae; Streptophyta; Magnoliopsida; Fabales; Fabaceae
Source: Rfam
AUGUGCGAUUAUACCAGCACUACUACACUGGAUUCCAUCAGAAUUCAUCAGUUAACCGUGCUUGAAUGAGAGUAGUACUUGGAUGGGUGACCUCCUAUGACGUCCUCGUUUUGCAACUU